RNAcentral lists this ribosomal RNA (429 nucleotides) under Acidobacteriota bacterium. RNAcentral's name for it is "Acidobacteria bacterium partial 16S ribosomal RNA". It matches the Rfam family "Bacterial small subunit ribosomal RNA", at positions 355 to 776 of the family's 1533-position model. Lineage: Bacteria; Pseudomonadati; Acidobacteriota. The record is from RNAcentral.
UGGGGAAUUUUGGACAAUGGGGGAAACCCUGAUCCAGCCAUCCCGCGUGUGCGAUGAAGGCCUUCGGGUUGUAAAGCACUUUUUGCAGGAAAGAAACGUCAUGGGUUAAUACCCCGUGAAACUGACGGUACCUGCAGAAUAAGCUCCGGCUAACUACGUGCCAGCAGCCGCGGUAAUACGUAGGGUGCAAGCGUUAAUCGGAAUUACUGGGCGUAAAGCGUGCGCAGGCGGUUCGGAAAGAAAGAUGUGAAAUCCCAGAGCUCAACUUUGGAGCUGCAUUUUUAACUACCGGGCUAGAGGGGGUCAGAGGGAGGGGGAAUUCCGCGUGUAGCAGUGAAAUGCGUAGUUAUGCGGAGGAACACCGAUGGCGAAGGCAGCCUCCUGGGAUAACACUGACGCGCAUGCACGAAAGCGUGGGGAGAAAACAGG